UACGGAAGGCAGCAGUGGGGAAUAUUGCACAAUGGGCGAAAGCCUGAUGCAGCUAUGCCGCGUGUAUGAAGAAGGCCUUAGGGUUGUAAAGUACUUUCAUCGGGGAGGAAAAACAAAACUAAUAAUUUUAUUUCUUGACGUUACCCGAAAAAGAAGCACCGGCUAACUCCGUGCCAGCAGCCGCGGUAAUACGGAGGGUGCUAGCGUUAAUCAGAAUUACUGGGCGUAAAGAGCACGUAGGUGGUUUUUUAAAGUCAGAUGUGAAAUCCCUGGGCUUAACCUAGGAAACUGCAUUUUGAAACUGAAAUAACUAGAGUAUCGUAGAGGGAGGUAGAAUUCUAGGUGUAGCGGUGAAAUGCGUAGAUAUCUGGAGGAAUACCUGUGGCGAAAGCGGCCUCCUAAACGAAUACUGACACUGA
This 419-nucleotide ribosomal RNA is filed under the name uncultured bacterium. RNAcentral describes it as "bacterial SSU rRNA". It matches the Rfam family "Bacterial small subunit ribosomal RNA", at positions 340 to 749 of the family's 1533-position model. The record is from RNAcentral.